Molecule: ribosomal RNA, 427 nt
Filed under: uncultured bacterium
Lineage: Bacteria
Description: bacterial SSU rRNA
Rfam family: Bacterial small subunit ribosomal RNA
Source: RNAcentral
UGGGGAAUUUUGGACAAUGGGCGCAAGCCUGAUCCAGCAAUGCCGCGUGCAGGAUGAAGGCCUUCGGGUUGUAAACUGCUUUUGUACGGAACGAAACGGCUCUGUCUAAUACAUGGGGCUAAUGACGGUACCUGAAGAAGAAGCACCGGCUAACUACGUGCCAGCAGCCGCGGUAAUACGUAGGGUGCGAGCGUUAAUCGGAAUUACUGGGCGUAAAGCGUGCGCAGGCGGUUGUGUAAGACAGGUGUGAAAUCCCCGGGCUUAACCUGGGAACUGCGCUUGUGACUGCACGGCUAGAGUAUGGCAGAGGGGGAUGGAAUUCCGCGUGUAGCAGUGAAAUGCGUAGAUAUGCGGAGGAACACCGAUGGCGAAGGCAAUCCCCUGGGCCUGUACUGACGCUCAUGCACGAAAGCAUGGGGAGCAAACA